Molecule: small RNA, 52 nt
Organism: Dinoroseobacter shibae
Lineage: Bacteria; Pseudomonadati; Pseudomonadota; Alphaproteobacteria; Rhodobacterales; Roseobacteraceae
Rfam family: ffh sRNA
Source: Rfam
CUGUGCAGGGAUCGCCACCCGUCAGCGCGUUGCGCCCACGGGUGCCUUUCCG